This 101-nucleotide ribosomal RNA is filed under the name Vibrio ulleungensis. RNAcentral describes it as "Vibrio sp. 188UL20-2 partial 23S ribosomal RNA". It matches the Rfam family "Bacterial large subunit ribosomal RNA", at positions 2825 to 2925 of the family's 2925-position model. The record is from RNAcentral. Lineage: Bacteria; Pseudomonadati; Pseudomonadota; Gammaproteobacteria; Vibrionales; Vibrionaceae.
UCCUAAAGGGUUGUUCGAGACUAGAACGUUGAUAGGCAGGGUGUGUAAGUGCUGUGAGGCAUUGAGCUAACCUGUACUAAUUGCCCGUGAGGCUUAACCAU